AUUGAACGCUGGCGGCAGGCCUAACACAUGCAAGUCGAACGAGUGGCGGACGGGUGAGUAAUGUCUGGGAAACUGCCUGAUGGAGGGGGAUAACUACUGGAAACGGUAGCUAAUACCGCAUAAUCUCAGAUGCGCCCAGAUGGGAUUAGCUUGCUGGUGGGGUAACGGCUCACCAAGUCGACGAUCCCUAGCUGGUCUGAGAGGAUGAGCGGCCACACUGGAACUGAGACACGGUCCAGACUCCUACGGGAGGCAGCAGUGGGGAAUAUUGCACAAUGGGCGCAAGCCUGAUGCAGCCAUGCCGCGUGUAUGAAGAAGGCCUUCGGGUGGUAAAGUACUUUCAGCGGUGAAGCGUUACCCGCAGAAGAAGCACCGGCUAACUCCGUGCCAGCCGCCGCGGUAAUAC
RNAcentral lists this ribosomal RNA (406 nucleotides) under uncultured bacterium. RNAcentral describes it as "partial 16S ribosomal RNA". It matches the Rfam family "Bacterial small subunit ribosomal RNA", at positions 30 to 526 of the family's 1533-position model. The record is from RNAcentral.